This 2314-nucleotide long non-coding RNA is filed under the name Homo sapiens (human). Its description in RNAcentral is "non-protein coding LINC01550:5". Lineage: Eukaryota; Metazoa; Chordata; Mammalia; Primates; Hominidae. The record is from RNAcentral.
GAGCCGGAGGGGCUGCACUGCACCGAGCUUGCACAGGGCGAGGCGGGGGCAGGACCUGGGACCCAGCCACCCCGGAGGAAACCGGAGAGGAAACCAGCUUGGUCUUGCUCUCUGCCUCGUCCCAAUCCCCGGCUCUUACCAAAUGCAGAUCCGUUGGCUGAAUGCCUUUUAGUCUGCAUACAUGCAUCUCAUACCGCACAGCCCAAAUUUCUACAACUUGUCCAGGUGCAGUCUCCUCAGAACUACAAAGCAAGAAAAGAUCACCUUUGGGCUCAGGAACUCACAGUCGUUCUCCCUCUCCCGGAAGGCACAAUGACCAGGACAGUACCGAGCUUUACAGCCAUAUUGAACUCACCAUCAACUCAGCACAUUCAACUCAAUCAGUCAAAAUCGUCUUUUCCUGCUGGUAAAUAACACUGAAAUAUAAAGAGACUGAUCUCAGAGUGGUACAGAUCUACAACCACGUGAAGAAUUGGAUUUAUAUUCAUCUGACUCCAGAAAGUUCCUGAGAUUCCUCUGCUUCAUCAUCUUUCCCAUGCCCUUUAAAACACGUUAUCAAAUAGCAACAGGUGGUGCAAUAACUAGACAAAUGAUUCUCAGCCUUUUUCUUUGCCAUUAGCACUCCCGGAAGGAGACGUGUUGGACACUUUUCCUUGUCACCACCCCAUGAACCUUCCAUACCACAGGUAUACUGUGUAUUCGGUUAUGUAUCAUCUGUACAUCUGUUUCUAAAACACAGAAACAGUAAGAGCCCCCCAUCCAAGAAUCCAUUUUAAUCCUCUUGGGUGUGAUGUCACCCCCCAAAAAUGCAUAUGCUCUGGAGUCAGUCACAAACACAUUACGAAUGCAUGAUCACUUAAGAAUGUUACCAAAGUUUAUAAAUUUGAGAUGAUAAUUCUAUGUUAUUUAGUUCAUUUUAGAGAUAAGUAAGAACCAGAGAUUCCAGAGAGGUAGACCAAGCUGACAGAGCAAGGAAAGGCAGAGCCAGACAUGCAGCUGAAGCAUCUGAAUUCCCACUCUAGUGCUCCAGCUUAACCUGGAUGAUCAGUAAAUGGUUGCUUUUCAAUGUGCUCUCAACACUUCCCACACUGCCUCCUUCAUUAAUAAAGGAAUGGUAUUUUGGGAGAAACCAGAAUCUGCCCUGGGGCAAUAGAAAGGCAGCAAAGCAACCUGCAUUCAAGUCUUUGGGGGAUUUUUUGGAAAGCAGAGUGUAUUAGUCUGCUAUUGCUGCUGUAACAAAUUACCAUAAAUUUAGUGGCUUAAAACAACACACAUUUGUUGUCUUAAAGUUCUGGAGGUCAGAGCCCAAAAUGGGUCUCAUGGAGCUCAAAUCAAGAUGUCAGAAGGGCUGUGUUCCUUUGGAAGGCCCUUGGGGAGAAUCUGUUCCAUGCCUUCUCCAGUUCCUGGAAGUCACCUGCUUGCUUUGGCUGUGGGGCACUUCCAGCAACUGCAUCACUCUAACCUCUGCAACCAUAGCACGUCUCCCUUUUCUGACUCUCACCCUCUUCUUUCUUUCCCUUAUAAGGACAAUUGUAGUACAGGAUAAUCUCCCCAUUUCAAAAUCCUUUACUUAAUCACAUCUGCAAAGUCCGUCUUGGCCUAUAAGGUGACAUACUUGCAGAUUCCAGAAAUUAGAAUUUGGACGUCUUUGGGUGGCUGUUAUUAUGCCUGCCACACAGACCAAUGCAUACACAAUGUGACCAAUCCAUCAUGAUUUGUCUGAGACUAUAUUGGCUUUAAAGCUGAAAGUUCUGCAUCCCAGGAAUCGCCUCAGUCCCAGGCAAUUCAGGACAAUUCGUCGUCACCCUAUGUGCACCUCCUAUGUGCUCCUUCAACUUAGAGAGUUGGUGUUUUCUCUCCUCUUCAAAGGACUAACUCCUUUUCACCUAAAGAGUACACAGAGGCUGGGUGUAGUGGUUUAGGCCUGUACUCUGUGCAUUUGGGACACUGAGGCAGGAGGUUCACUUGAGCCCAGGAGUUUGAGACCAUUCACGGCAACAUAGUGAGAUCCUUUCUCUACAAAUUUUUUAAAAAAUUAGUUGGGCAUGGUGGCACAUGCCUGUAGUCCCAGAUACUUGGCAGGCUAAGGAGGAAGGAUCCCCUGAGCCCGGGAUUCAAGGCUGCAGUGAGCUAUGAUAGUGCCACUGUACUGCAGCUGAGGCAAUAAAACGAGGCCCUGUCUCUAAAAAUAAAAAAAAAAAAAAAAAAGAAAAAAAGGCUGCACAGAAUAGACUGAUGGACUGAAGGCUCUGCCCUUAUCAAACAUUUACUAAGUAAUAAUUAUAAGUUUGCCUCCUACACUGGGUGACUUCUC